CUACUUUAUUACCUGUGACUCUAAAAUUUACGAUCUACGUGCAAACUCGUAGCUUUAAAUAAAAGACCAAAAGACCCCAGGAGCUUUAAUUUUACCCAUAAACUUUUAUGGGAAAAUUUAUACUGGGAGAGUAAGGGAUAUACAUCCCUCCUAUUUUAUAUUUCACCUUCAUAAUGAUGAAUUAAGCUACCCUGGGGAUAACAGGCUACUCUUCUUUAAAAGCCCAAAUUUACAAGAAGAUAUAGCACCUCGAUGUUGGCUUAAGAGUAUGUAAAAUGUAGCAGUUUUAUUUAAUGGCUUGUUCCGCCAGUAUUUUCUUACGUGAUCUGAGUUCAGACCGG
RNAcentral lists this ribosomal RNA (341 nucleotides) under Ophryotrocha geoffreadi. RNAcentral describes it as "partial 16S ribosomal RNA". It matches the Rfam family "Bacterial large subunit ribosomal RNA", at positions 2048 to 2619 of the family's 2925-position model. The record is from RNAcentral. Lineage: Eukaryota; Metazoa; Annelida; Polychaeta; Eunicida; Dorvilleidae.